UUUUUUUCACAAACACGUACCAUUCACACACGCUCAUCAAUCUCAAAUCUCACAAACUCAAAAUCGCUUCUUCUUCAUCUAUCUCAAAUCUCAAACUCCAUUGAUCUCAAACCUCACAAACUCCAUUGAUCUCAAACCUCAUCAAUCUCACCUCAACAAUCUUCUCAAACAAGCUCUGAAUCGAUUCCCUACUGUAUCGAUUUCAAAUCGAUUUUGUUGUUCAUCUUUUGUUCAAAUCGAUUUAGAGAUCUUCAAAUCGAUUUUGCUCUUAAUCGUUCUCAAGCUCACAAACUAAAUCGAUCUCAAUCUGUAUCGAUUUUGUUCAAACUGUAUCGAUCUCAAUCGUCGCCUUCAUCGACCGCCGGACCGCCGAUCUUCGAACUCGCUCUGGAUCAUUUUCAAUCGCUUCAUUGCAAAUGGCUGAAAAUGCCAACCUAGCCAGAGCCCCUCAAUGUGCUGAUAUUGCUUGUGAGGUGUUGCUGGUCAUCUUGCUCCCCCCAUCUACAAGGGUCAAAGGGUUCAUUGAAGUUGUUAAGCCAGCGUCGUUCACGUGUCACUUUAUGUGAAAAAUUCAACAAUAGUUGCCUUAUGUGAAAUCUAUUGAGUUCCAUCUUACUCAAUAGAUUUCUCUAGCAGACAUCAUUUGCGUUUUCUAUUAAGGGGUGUGGAGUGCUAUUCUGUUUGUAGGUUAAGGUUGGCAAACUUCCACGACAUGCUAGUUCAAAUAUUUCAUCUCAACGCACUAAUUCAGAAGAUAGACUUCAAAAAGUAGAAAGUGUAUUUGGAAAUCUUGUUGCUGUGCUUCAAAUGCGAUUUUCUGAUGAUCCACAAAUUAAUGCUGUCUUACAGGCUGUAGCUCAAGAGGUACCUGAUGUUGCAAGUGCUCCAAAUGGUUCUAUUGGUAAUAAUCAACAAACUACAAGUGGCACUGGUUCACUGCACUUUUAAGGGUAAAAGAUUGAUGGUAGGUGUUUGAGGUGUCAUAGAUAGAGAACAGGAAGAUGAAUAUGAUGUGAGCAAUGAAAUAGAACAAGCAUGGACUAGCCAUUGGACUUGAACAAUAAUAAGCCCAGUCACCUAGGAUUUGGUUGGAUAUACUCUAAGAGAAAGAAAGUCAUAGCCAGAGAUAAUUAGUUACAUUUUGAGUUGACAAGUUUUUGAACCUUGUGAUUUGUCAAUUGAUUCAGACUGGUGCAUUGAUGGAGAAGAGGAAGAUGAUCUGGUUUUGGCGGAACAUGAUGUGAAGAAAAGUAUAUGAUUGUUCUUGAUAGGGUAGAACCAUAUAAAAACUGUGUCUGUCAGUUUCUGCAUCUUAUAAGUAGUAAAACUCAUUUUGUGUAUUUUGGUGUUGUCUUUAGUUAUAUGAUUUGUCCACAUUGGUGAAUAAUACCUUGAGAAUAUAUUCUGGUGUUGAUUUUAGUUUAUAUGAUGAUUGGUGAAUAAUACCUUGAGAAUA
This is a long non-coding RNA of Medicago truncatula (barrel medic), 1456 nucleotides long. RefSeq lists it as uncharacterized. Lineage: Eukaryota; Viridiplantae; Streptophyta; Magnoliopsida; Fabales; Fabaceae. The record is from RefSeq and is a predicted model, not a curated record. The transcript is spliced from 5 exons.